CCUGCCUAAAAUGGAUUGUUUUAUUCUGUUUUUCUUUUUUAAUUAACAGCUUCCUCUACAUUCCUCAUUGUUUUACACACAUCUUUUUCCACAUCCCUUAUGUUCCCAGUAAUCUCCAAAUUGACAUGUGAUGACAUCUCCUGAAUUCCCUUAUUGCUCACUCCAUAACUUAAUAAACAGUCUGGGAAGUCUUGUUGCUAUUUUUGUAUUUUUCUCCACAGACUGCAAACAUAAUAUCCUACUUUUUUACCUGUCAGCUAAAUUUCACAAUGCUGAAGUGGACAACAAGAUAAAACAAAAACAUAAAGCAUCCCACCUAUGUUAUCAUGAUCUGUCCAGAGACGUAUAUGCUUUCCUUCAUCUUAAAACAGAGCUAAAAUCCCAACUUUAAGAGCCUGUUCUGUGUCUGCUCUUGUCUAGUGACAGCAGCUUCCUGUGUUUGUUAUUAGAGGUGGUUAGGAGGGGGCAGAGGCCAAUGACACCCCCCACAAAUGUCCUAAAACACACAUGGACCAGAACUCUGCACACACACGAACACACACACACACACACACACCAACAAGGAAUUCCACAGUCAGGAGAAAGAAGAAUGAUGAAAAAGCACGCUCUAGAAUGAGACAAAAAAACAUUAUGCAUAAAUAUUCUCCACAUAUGCAGUUUAUUGUAUUUCUAGUCCGCUUUGGCAUCUCUGUGCUUGUUUCACCAUCUCCAAGUGUCCUUUUUGGUGUCUCCAAAUGUCAUUUUGGGCAUCUCCAAGUGUCCUUUUGGGAAUUUCCAAGUGUCCCUUUGAGGAUCGCCAGGUGUCAUUUUGGGCAUCUCCAAGUGUCUCUUUCGGGGUCACCAAGUGUCAUUUUGGGUAUCUCCAAGUGUCCCUUUGGGCAUCUCCAAGUGUCAUUUUGGGCAUCUCCUAGUGUCCCUUUGGGGAUCACCAAGUGUCAUUUUGGGCAUCUCCUAGUGUCCCUUUGGGGAUCACCAAGUAUCAUUUUGGGCAUCUCCAAGUGUCCCUUUGGGGAUCACCAAAUGUACUUUUGGGCAUGUCCAAGUGUCAUUGUGGGAAUGUCCAAGUGUCAUUGUGGGAAUGUCCAAGUGUCAUUUUGGGCAUGUCCAAGUGUCAUUUUGGGCAUCUCCAAGUGUCCCUUUGGGGAUCACCAAAUGUACUUUUGGGAAUGUCCAAGUGUCAUUGUGGGAAUGUCCAAGUGUCAUUGUGGGAAUGUCCAAGUGUCAUUUUGGGCAUGUCCAAGUGCUAUUUUGGGCAUCUCCAAGUGUCCCUUUGGGGAUCUCCAAGUUUCAGUUUGUGCAUCUCCAAGUGUCCUUUUGGGCAUCUCCAAGGGGCCCUUUGGGCAUCUCCAAGUGUCAUUUUGGGCAUCUCCAAGUGUCCUUUUUGGCAUCUCUAAUGGUCCCUUUGGGGAUUACCAUAUGUCCUUUUGGGCAUCUCCUAGUGCCAUUUCAGGCAUCUCCAUUUGUCAUUUUGGGCAUCUCCAAGUGUCCCUUUGGGGAUCACCAAAUAUCCCUUUGGGGAUCACCAAUUGUCCCUUUGGGGAUCACCAAGUGUCCCCUUGUGGAUCUACAAGUAUGCUUUUUGGUAUCUCCAAGUGUCUUUUUGGGCAUCUCUCAGUAACCUAUUGGGCCUGUCCAAAUGUCUCUUUGGGUGUCUCCAGAAAAUCUUUUAAGUAUCUCCAGGUGUCCCUAAGUGGAUCUCCAAAUGUUCUUUUGGACAUCUCCAUGUGUCCUUUUGGGCAUCUUCAAUCGUCCCUUUGGGCAUCUCCACAUGUCUCUUUGGGAGACUCUAAGAACCCUUUGAGUAGAGCUGUGCAAUAUAGAAAAAAAUUGACACUGCAAUUUUUUUAACGAUAUAUAUUGCGAUAUUAAACAAUGCAGGACCCGUGGCAUCACCAGCCCCGCCUCUUCUGCGAGCUGUCUCACGUCAGAGAUCUGGACCAAGAGUUGAUGUGACUAUUGUGCAUGCACUCAUCGUGAUGACGAUGCUUAAACGAUAUAUCAUGCAGCCCUACUUUUGAGCAUGUCCAAAUGUUUCUCAUUGGAUCCAGGUGUCCUUUUGGGUAUUUU
Molecule: long non-coding RNA, 2067 nt
Filed under: Astyanax mexicanus (Mexican tetra)
Lineage: Eukaryota; Metazoa; Chordata; Actinopteri; Characiformes; Acestrorhamphidae
Description: lncRNA (ENSAMXG00005023274.1)
Source: RNAcentral